This 506-nucleotide ribosomal RNA is filed under the name uncultured bacterium. Its description in RNAcentral is "partial 16S ribosomal RNA". It matches the Rfam family "Bacterial small subunit ribosomal RNA", at positions 30 to 523 of the family's 1533-position model. The record is from RNAcentral.
AUUGAACGCUGGCGGCAGGCCUAACACAUGCAAGUCGAACGGCAGCGGGGGAUAGCUUGCUAUCCUGCCGGCGAGUGGCGGACGGGUGAGUAAUGCAUGGGGAGCUGCCCAGUCGAGGGGGAUGACAACUGGAAACGGUUGCUAAUACCGCAUACGCCCUAAGGGGGAAAGGUGGGGAACUUCGGUCCUACCGCGAUUGGAUGCGCCCAUGUGGGAUUAGCUAGUUGGUGAGGUAACGGCUAAACAAGGUGACGAUCUCUAGCUGGUCUGAGAGGAUGACCAGCCACACUGGAACUGAGACACGGUCCAGACUCCUACGGGAGGCAGCAGUGGGGAAUAUUGCACAAUGGGGGAAACCCUGAUGCAGCCAUGCCGCGUGUGUGAAGAAGGCCUUCGGGUUGUAAAGCACUUUCAGUCAGGAGGAAGGGGUGAUGGCUAAUAUCCAUCAUCAUUGACGUUACUGACAGAAGAAGCACCGGCUAACUCCGUGCCAGCCGCCGCAGUAA